Long non-coding RNA from Vicia villosa (hairy vetch), 1986 nucleotides. RefSeq lists it as uncharacterized. The transcript has 4 exons. Lineage: Eukaryota; Viridiplantae; Streptophyta; Magnoliopsida; Fabales; Fabaceae. The record is from RefSeq and is a predicted model, not a curated record.
AUUUUCAGUUGGUUAUUAAUCGCUACAAGAAAACCCUAAUCGAGAAUCAAAUAAUGGCCGCACCUAACGCAACAAAAAACCCAAUCCAUAAUCAAAUUAUGGCCGCGCCUCAUCUUGCCAAACAAGAUCUGCUCCGUCGCGUUCGCUUCACCGUCAGAGAAGUUGCGCUGCUCCCCCGACUAUGGUGCCGCGCCGCCAUCAUUCCACCGUCGCCGAACGCGCUAAAUCUCAGGUGCGGUGAUUAAUCCUGGAGUAACGUCUGAGCAGUUGCGCCGCUCCCCCAACUAUGGUGUCGCGCUGUCAUCAGUCCGCUAACAUCAAACGACGAACCUAACUCUCUCAACAACAAGCGCUGUGAUCUUUUGGAGGAUGAACCUGAGAAGGAUAAAGAAGAUAAAGAAGACGGGAAAAUUCGGAUGAUGUGAAGGAUGAUGUGAAGGAUGAUGUGAAGGAUGAUGUGAAGGAUGAUGUGAAGAAGUUGUGGGGGAUGGGACUUUUUCUUGAAUGGAUUAGGAUAAUGGUGAAGAUUCGACUGUCCAUUUUGGUGCAUGAGGCAUGGAAAUCUUUCAAAAAAAAAAUAAUCUUGAGUUUAUCGACAAGCACAAUGCUAAAAACCGGACAUAUAAGGUUGGUUUGAACCGGUUCGCUGAUCUUAGCAAGGAGGAGUUCGGUCCAUAUAUCUUGGAUUAAAGACUGACCCAAAUCGGUUGGCUAAGACGAAGAGCAACUGUUGUGCAAGUGUUGGUGAUAACUUGCCUGAAUCUGUUGAUGGGAGGAAACAAGGUGGUGAUGUGGCCCAAGUCAAGGAGCAAUGAGGUUGUGGUAAGUAACUUCUACUUAUAUACUCCAAUGAUGUUACUACUAACUUCUACUUCAAUACUCCAAUGAUCUUACUACUAACUUCUACUUCAAUACUCCAAUGAUACUACAACUGUCUUAACUAUUUAUUGUCUUGUACUUUUAUUUUAAAUAUGUUAUUAUUUGUUUUUAGUUUUUCUAUUUUAUUUUGAGUCUAAAAUUAUUUAAUUUGGGCUUAUCAACCACCAAACAUUUGAGAAUGAUUAGCUUUUUUGAACUUCCUCUUCGGUGACAAAAAUAAUUACGAUAAUAAUUAAACAAGAUGAGCAUAGCAACUCUAUCUUCAAAACUCAAUAUAAUCAAUCUAUUCAAGAACAAGUUACAUUCAUAUCAGUUAAACAAUAACAGAAGGAACACACAAAGGUUGAAAAAAGGCUAAUUAUUCUCAAAUGUUUGGUGGUUGAUAAGCCCAAAUUAUCAAUCACCAAAAAUUUGAGAAUGAUUAGCCUUUUUUUCCACCGUUGUGUGUUUCUUCUGUUAUUGUUUAACCGAUAUGAAUGUAAUUGUUCUUGAAUAGAUUGAUUAUAUUGAGUUUUGAAGAUAGAGUUGUUAUGCUCAUCUUGUUUAAUUAUUAUCGUCAUUAUUUUUGUCUCUCACAUUUCUUAUGAGGCAUGGAAAUCUCAACAACAACUGUCUCCACCUGGGCCAACCUGAGCCAAAAGUAAAAGAGAUUUAAAAAUUUCAAAAAUAAUCUUGAGUUUAUCGACAAGCGCAAUGCUGAAAACCGGACAUAUAAGGUUGGUUUGAACCGGUUUGCUGAUCUUAGCAACAAGGAGUACCGGUCCAUAUAUCUUGGAUUAAAGACUGACCCAAAUCAGUUGGCUAAGACGAAGAGCAACUGUUGUGCUGCAAGUGUUGGUGAUAACUUGCCUGAAUCUGUUGAUGGGAGGAAACAAGGUGGUGAUGUGGCCCAAGUCAAGGACCAAUGAGGUUGUGAUAAUUCAUUGAACACCCUGAAGAAAUCAAAGGAAGAAAAACCUAUGGUUUGAUAACUCUGAUUCGAGAGAUCGGACAGAGCAAGCAUGCAUAUGUGUUGUUGUUUUAAGCUGAAAACACUCUGAACUUUCUGAUUAGAUACUUUUUAAACAAUUUGUAUUUUUUUUUGUUUAUAAAUAAAGGUUUUGAUAA